RNAcentral lists this ribosomal RNA (464 nucleotides) under uncultured bacterium. RNAcentral's name for it is "partial 16S ribosomal RNA". It matches the Rfam family "Bacterial small subunit ribosomal RNA", at positions 28 to 507 of the family's 1533-position model. The record is from RNAcentral.
GACGAACGCUGGCGGCGUGCUUAACACAUGCAAGUCGAGCGGAAAGGCCCUUUCGGGGGUCCUCGAGCGGCGAACGGGUGAGUAACACGUGCGUAAGCUGCCCUUCACUUGGGGAUAACCUCCGGAAACGGUGGCUAAUACCCGAUACGACCAUUCCUCGCAUGAGGGGGUGGUGGAAAGUUUUUUGGUGGGGGAUGGGCGCGCGGCCUAUCCGCUUGUUGGUGGGGUAAUGGCAUACCAAGGCUUCGACGGGAAGCCGGCCUGAGAGGGUGACCGGCCACACUGGGACUGAGACACGGCCCAGACUCCUACGGGAGGCAGCAGUGGGGAAUAUUGGACAAGGGGCGGAGGCCUGAUCCAGCAACGCCGCGUGGGGGAUGACGGCCUUCGGGUUGGAAACCUCUUUCACCUGUGACGAAGCGAAAGUGACGGUAGCAGGAGAAGAAGCACCGGCCAACUACGUG